CCAUGACCUUUUAAUCCGAUUUUCAAAACACUCCUAUAACAUGGGAAGAUUGAAAAGUAGAGGUCAUCAAAACCAAAACAAAGAAAAUAACAUAAAACCCAACAGAGAGUCUUUCAUUCAAACUCGCAUCAAGAUUAUAAGAAUCUUUCAUUCAAACUACCCAUUCUUCUACCAUGAAAGUUAAUGUCUAUGCUUUCACCAUCAAAGAUAAAUAGAUAUCAACCUUCAAGAAAUUCAUUUAUUAUUUACCUAGAUGAUUACCAAAGAUCCUUCUCCCAUUAAAUCGAUCCAUUUGUAAAAUCUAUUUGCAUUUCGAAUAAACUAGAGACGGUUGAG
Molecule: long non-coding RNA, 336 nt
Filed under: Jatropha curcas
Lineage: Eukaryota; Viridiplantae; Streptophyta; Magnoliopsida; Malpighiales; Euphorbiaceae
Description: long non-coding RNA (JCUR_LNC001540)
Source: RNAcentral